CCACCACGUUUCCUGGCAAUAUAACAGGAUCUGGAGAGCCUGACAAAAUUCCUCGUUUAACUGAUGAAAUCUAAUUUGCUAUGGAGAUCGCAGAAUAUUUUANCUUUUUGUAAAACAAAACCAAAACCAAAACCCAACUAAUAAUGAUAACAGCGUUUUUGGAAAAUUAGGUCAAAUUGGGGUUAACAUAAUUCCAGCCUUAAUUUUUUUAAAAAUGAAAGCAAUGCACUUGGCUCCUUACAUCCCCCCAUCGACUCGAAGCCCCCUCCCCUUCUACACCCCCCCAGUCCCUCGCCUUCCUCACCAGCCGGCUUCUCUUGGGUUGCAUCAGCUUCCUCGCCCUCGACGCUCUACUAUCUAGCCUGACAGCUUCCCCUCCCACCCUCGCUUCCUCUCACUAUACCCUCCCAGGACAGAGGGAAGAGCGCCGAGAGAUUGGAUCGCUAGCGAGAGGUUUCAAAGAGAAUGGGGGCGGGACGCCUGCCGCCUAGGCAGCUGCGUCAUUUGUAGAGAAGGGAGGGAGCCGAGGGAGGAAUUUACACUUGCGUCGACGAGAGGGUAGGAAGAGAGAGAGAGAGAAAAAAAAAGAGCGAGAGCGCACGCGCAGCAGGAAACGAGGGCGGUGCUUCCAUCGCGCCUUCGUGCUCCACCCCGCCCAUCGCUGUCCCCCACUUCUCUUCCGCCGCAAUCCAAUGGCCAAGCGCUCGACAGGAAGAGCUCCGCACUGCGCUUGCGCAGGCAUGAUUACGCCCACGUCUCUCUUCAGAACCGUAGAGGCCGUAGAUGGGCGUAGCAAAACAGGAGGGGGCGUGGCGUCAGCGGCGGCUUCGUCGUGGCCCUGUNUCGGUACGUGAGUGUUCACACAAACACCAAACACACACACACACUCUCUCACACACACACAGGGCGGCGAAGAUGGCGGCCGUUUACAGGAGCAAAAGGCCCUUUGAAGGCUCUGAAGAGGGCAGUGAACCCAAUGCAAAGAGGCAGCACCUUUCAAAGCACUGCGGCAAACCCUUCCUGGUCGCUUCAGUUCCUCCUUCCUCCAGCACUGGGGUUCCCCCAGUUCGUUCAGUGACCAUCAGCGACCGUUCCGACGGCAGCGACCUAGACGAUUCGCUGCUCGAGUUAUCGGAUGGCGAAAGCGAAGGCUCUCUUUCUGAACUCACCCAGGAGGAUGAGGAUAAACUCUUGUACGGUUCAGACAGCGAUCUGGAGACCUCAGGUUCUAAAGCAUUUAUUGCGAACGUGCAGCUUGCUCGGGUUCAAAGUGUGACCAUAACCGUAGUGGCUCCAAAUGGCCCUCCGGACUGCGCCAGGGAAGAUGAUGCUUUCCAGAAGGACCCUCAGAAUCCAGAAAGUGACGUAAACACCAGCUCUCUAAGCCAAGCUGGACUUGGUUUGAGUUCGGACUGUUCUGCGAUUGCAGAAGGUACACCAGUUGCAAGAUCGCUGUUAGGUCUGCAGAAAGCGGGCGAUGCGCCUGGGAUAAGAGGUGAACCUGCUCAGACAGUGAGCAGCAGCUCUUGGGCCACAAGCCUGCUUGCCACUGGAAACCACGCUGAGGAGCGGAUCCCCNCAAAUAAAACAGAGCUAGUAAGCGAAACUGGAAGCAACCCGCUGUGCAGGACCACGAGAGAACCUGCUUCUUCGGACACCCACCUGAAGUCUCCACCANCCGCCUCCAACUCUGCCAGCGACCAGCGAGAGGCUCAUGUGGGAGAUGCCAGUGGUGCAGAGCGAAAUCGGCCACCAGUGCCUAACUCUAGUUCUGUAAGGCCUAGGACGCGGAUAAACAUCAACGAGAGCGAGCUUGAAAUUGACAAGGAAAAAUACAUCCAAGCUGUACUUGCCCACGCUCGUGGUAGUGAGCAUAUUUUAGGUGAAGUCAAAGAGGUGCAUGCGCUGAUGUGGAAGGUUCAUCACGAGAGUCGCUCUCAGGAUCCCAGGCCUAGGCACCCAACAGAUCUGACUAAGAGAAACUACAAGCAAAGAAAUGACAAGGCAAAAAACAAGCUCACCCUGCAUCAAUGGUUCGAUAAGUGCGGACCUAACUACUGCCGGUUUGAGAACAUCCCCAGUCACUUUAAGCGCAGCCCUGUUCCGAAUUAGAAGUCGCCUUCCCCCGAAACUCUGCUGCAUCUGAUCUGCACUUUAAAA
Long non-coding RNA from Salvator merianae (Argentine black and white tegu), 2160 nucleotides. The record is from Ensembl. Lineage: Eukaryota; Metazoa; Chordata; Lepidosauria; Squamata; Teiidae.